UGGGAUUCUUAGGAGGCUGCUCAUCAGAUGAUUGUUGUGAAGACUGCUGCAUCUUCUCAGGGCUUCCAUGCGAAUGCUUCUUUGGAGAACACGGAUACGGUUUCUGGAUUCUCCUGGAUUAAAGUUUUCUCCCUUUUUCUUGCUCUGUGGCGGCAUCUCAUCCUCUAUUAGGGAUCGAUUUCUGUGAUUUGUUUUUUCUCUGUUGGCAUUGUGGGAUUGCUUACGUGAAUUCGAGCAACACUUGCGAUCAUCUGUAUCCAUCAAGCGAGAGAAGAUGGGAUGGGUGCUGUUUCAAUGGAUUCUAGUUUGUUCAGUAUACUCGUAUGAAGAGAUUUUACCCCUUUCAAUGAUGACUUUUAUAACAAGAUUACUUUGCUUGCUCGAACUGAAAGCAUGAAAACUAAUAUGAUGAAAGAAAAGUCAAGUUUUGUGUGCAGCCGUUAUAUCUUUUCCCUCCCCUCCAACAGGGGUCG
This is a long non-coding RNA of Drosophila pseudoobscura, 473 nucleotides long. RefSeq lists it as uncharacterized. The record is from RefSeq and is a predicted model, not a curated record. The transcript has 3 exons. NCBI's taxonomy places the organism in Eukaryota, Metazoa, Arthropoda, Insecta, Diptera, Drosophilidae.